This 58-nucleotide transfer RNA is filed under the name Cephaloleia erichsonii. RNAcentral's name for it is "tRNA-Leu". The record is from RNAcentral. Lineage: Eukaryota; Metazoa; Arthropoda; Insecta; Coleoptera; Chrysomelidae.
UAUGGCAGAAUAGUGCAUUGGAUUUAAACCCCAAAAAUAAAGAAACCUUUUAUUAAAA